RNAcentral lists this ribosomal RNA (227 nucleotides) under uncultured bacterium. Its description in RNAcentral is "partial 16S ribosomal RNA". It matches the Rfam family "Bacterial small subunit ribosomal RNA", at positions 1265 to 1500 of the family's 1533-position model. The record is from RNAcentral.
GAGCGGAACUCGAAAGCCUGUCUCAGUUCGGAUCGGAGUCUGCAACCCGACUCCGUGAAGCUGGAUUCGCUAGUAAUCGCGCAUCAGCCAUGGCGCGGUGAAUACGUUCCCGGGCCUUGUACACACCGCCCGUCAAGCCAUGGAAGCCGGGAGUGCCUGAAGUAUGCAACCGCAAGGAGCGUCCUAAGGUAAAACCGGUGACUGGGGCUAAGUCGUAACAAGGUAAC